GAGCGGCGGACGGGUGAGUAAUACUUAGGAAUCUACCUAGUAGUGGGGGAUAGCUCGGGGAAACUCGAAUUAAUACCGCAUACGACCUACGGGAGAAAGGGGGCAACUUGUUGCUCUCGCUAUUAGAUGAGCCUAAGUCGGAUUAGCUAGAUGGUGGGGUAAAGGCCUACCAUGGCGACGAUCUGUAGCUGGUCUGAGAGGAUGAUCAGCCACACCGGGACUGAGACACGGCCCGGACUCCUACGGGAGGCAGCAGUGGGGAAUAUUGGACAAUGGGGGAAACCCUGAUCCAGCCAUGCCGCGUGUGUGAAGAAGGCCUUUUGGUUGUAAAGCACUUUAAGCAGUGAAGAAGACUCUUCGGUUAAUACCCGGAGACGAUGACAUUAGCUGCAGAAUAAGCACCGGCUAACUCUGUGCCAGCAGCCGCGGUAAUACAGAGGGUGCAAGCGUUAAUCGGAAUUACUGGGCGUAAAGGGAGCGUAAGUGGCUCGAUAAGUCAGAUGUUAAAUCCCGGGCUCAACCUGGGAACUGCAUCUUGAUACUUGUUGAGCUAAAAUAUUUUGAGAGGAAGGUAGAAUUCCAAGGUGUUACCGGUUGAA
Molecule: ribosomal RNA, 599 nt
Filed under: Adelie penguin guano bacterium 257
Lineage: Bacteria
Description: bacterial SSU rRNA
Rfam family: Bacterial small subunit ribosomal RNA
Source: RNAcentral